RNAcentral lists this unclassified non-coding RNA (2140 nucleotides) under Hevea brasiliensis (rubber tree). Lineage: Eukaryota; Viridiplantae; Streptophyta; Magnoliopsida; Malpighiales; Euphorbiaceae. The record is from RNAcentral.
UUUGCAUCUGACUGACAAGACCUUCCUCGGAGCCUGAGCCUCCAUGGUUUCUUGUUCUGUUUGAAGCUGCUGUAGCUCUGACCCCAUGGGGCACCCGAAUGAUGACACUGAUAAGCAUCUAAGGGGGAGCCUAACAAAACAGAACAAGAAGCUAUCUAGAUUGAAAUGCUCGGUGCACAAUUACGAUUGGGGCAUUGUUGGCAACAAUUCUCAGGUGGCAAGGCUCUUCGCCCUCAAUUCUGGCUCUGAUAUAGACCCUUAUAAGCCUUAUGCGGAGCUCUGGAUUGGAACCCACGAAUCUGGGCCGUCGUUCGUGGAUCAUGGCAAUGGAAGAUUGGAGUCAUUGAGUUUGAAAACGUGGAUCUCGGAUAAACCCAAUUUAGUUCUUGGAGAACGGUUAUUAAGAAGUGGGGCGGUGAUCUUCCUUUUUUGUUGAAGGUACUCUCGGCAGAGAAAGCGUUAUCCAUACAAGCCCAUCCAGAUAAAGAUCUGGCAAUGGUUCUCCACAACUCCCAAUCAAGUGUCUACAGGGAUGAUAAUCACAAGCCUGAAAUGGCAUUGGCACUCACUGAAUUUGAGGCUCUCCUUGGGUUUAUCAGUGUAAAGGUAAUAUGAUCUGAACUCCGUGCACAUUGUGGUGGUGUGGCUUAAUGAUGAAUGAUUAUCAAGUUCACUAGUGUAGAAUUGUCAAAUAUCGGUUCCUCUUGAUUUUAGUCAAUGCCAUGUGAUGGACUGGAUUACUUGGCACCCUAGUGGAUAGUUGAAAUGGGCUUAUGUCCGUAUUUUGAAUUACAAAAGCUAUGCAGUAUUUAUCAUCAUACUAGAUUAUGCCAAUUGAUUUGAGUGCAAGUUAUAACCAUUUUGCUAAAUCAUCAGAAAAGGAGGAUGAAAAAUGUAAUAUAGACACUGUGUAUGAUCAUGAAUAUUGCUUGCCGGAAGGAACUUUUAAUUUGGAAUUGAGAGUUGGGACCCCAGAGUGAAUGAAAAGGAGAGAGCUUUCAACUUCUAAGCUUCUGCUGGUUUCCACAGAAAAUAUAAAACAUGCCAUUGUUAGGCUUAGACCAUAGAAAUGGACGAGAUUCUUGCAACUUAAUCCUCAGAUGCACCAUGCAAUUUAGAAAACAAAUAUAGAGAAUAGUAAUAACAUAAGUAGCAGAUGAUGACAAGGAAAAAAGAGAAGAAAUUUAUUUUCAAAAUCCUCUGAUUUUUAUGCACCAUAAGAUUUGUUAGUACUUACAUUUCGCAGGAGCUUAUGGAUGUGCUAUGUAGUGUUCCUGAGAUAGUAGAAUUGAUUGGGAGUGGAAAUGCAAAGCAGUUUUUGCUUGUCAAUGAGCAAGACAGGGAUAAGAACGCAAAAGCAGUUCUGCAAUCCAUUUUCAGUCAACUUGUGUUGGCAAGUAGAGAUAAAAUUGGUGCAAUGAUCUCUAACAUAAAAAGCCGUUUGCUUCUGGAAAUGCAGAAAAGGAAGUUGACAGAUAAAGAGCAGUUGGUGCUGAGACUAGAGAGUCAAUGCCCUGCUGAUGCAGGUGUGAUUGCUGCAUUUCUAUUGAGCUAUGUGAAGCUGAACCAUGGUGAAGCAUUGUAUCUAGGGGGAAAUGAACCUCAUGCAUAUAUUUGUGGUGAAUAUAUCGAGUGUAUGGCAAAUUCAGAUAAUGUUGUUCGUGCUGGCCUUACCUCCAAACACAGGGAUAUCCAAACACUUCUUUCUAUGCUCAAAUAUACACAGGGUUUUCCUGAAAUAUUGCGAGGUGUUUCAUUGAAUCCAUACACAACAAGGUAUCUCCCACCCCUGGAUGAAUUUGAAAUUGACCUCUCUAUUCUUCCACAGGCAACAUCAGUAGUCUUUCCCUCAGUCCCAGGACCAUCUCUUUUUUUGUUCAUUAAGGGGAAAGGAGCAAUUACUGCAGGAAUUUCUGAAAAUGAUAAUGUUGAAGAGGGUGAAGUUCUCUUUGUGCCUGCUCAUACAGAGAUAAGGAUAACAGCUGAAUCAACUGAGUUGCACUUGUAUAGAGCUGGAGUGAACAGCAGAUUCUUUACCAUACCAUGAUUAGUGAUUGUUUCUUGAUACCAAUGUUAAUUAGUUUGGAAUUAAGAAUUGACUGUUGUUAUUUUUUAAAAAGGAAUAGAUAUAUUUGCCCCA